UUUAAGGUUGGGGCAGGGAACGGGGUGAGUAACGCGUGAGAAUCCUUUUACUUCAGGUCUGGGACAACCACUGGAAACGGUGGCUAAUACCGGAUGUGCCGAAAGGUGAAAGGCUUGCUGCCUGAAGAUGAGCUCGCGUCUGAUUAGCUAGUAGGUGGGGUAAGAGCCUACCUAGGCGACGAUCAGUAGCUGGUCUGAGAGGAUGACCAGCCACACUGGGACUGAGACACGGCCCAGACUCCUACGGGAGGCAGCAGUGGGGAAUUUUCCGCAAUGGGCGAAAGCCUGACGGAGCAAUACCGCGUGAGGGAGGAAGGCUCUUGGGUUGUAAACCUCUUUUCUCAGGGAAGAACAAAAUGACGGUACCUGAGGAAUCAGCAUCGGCUAACUCCGUGCCAGCAGCCGCGGUAAUACGGAGGAUGCAAGCGUUACUCCGGAAUUGGAAUUGGGGCGGUAAAAGACGUCCGGCAGGUGGACUGUGUAAGUCCUGCUGUCAAAGAGCGAAGCUUCAACUUCGUAAAGGCAGUGGAAACUACACGGCUAGAGUGCGUUCGGGGCAGAAGGGAAUUCCUGGUGUAGCGGUGAAAUGCGUAGAGAUCAGGAAGAACACCGGUGGCGAAGGCGCUCUGCUAGGCCGCAACUGACACUGAGGGACGAAAGCUAGGGGAGCGAAUGGGAUUAGAUACCCCAGUAGUCCUAGCUGUAAACGAUGGAUACUAGGCGUGGCUUGUAUCGACCCGAGCCGUGCCGUAGCUAACGCGUUAAGUAUCCCGCCUGGGGAGUACGCACGCAAGUGUGAAACUCAAAGGAAUUGACGGGGGGCCCGCACAAGCGGGUGGAGUAUGUGGAUUAAUUCGAUGCAACGCGAAGAAUCCUUUACCAACGGCUUUGAACAUGUCGGCGAACUUUUUCUGAAAGGAAGAGGUGCCUUCAGGAGCGCCGAACCACAGGUGGUGUGUCAUUGGGCGUGUCGUCAGCUCGUGUCGUGAGAUGUUGGGUUAAGUCCCGCAACGAGCGCAACCCUCGUUUUUAGUUGCCAGCAUUAAGUUGGGCACUCUAGAGAGACUGCCGGUGACAAACCGGAGGAAGGUGGGGAUGACGUCAAGUCAGCAUGCCCCUUACGCCUUGGGCUACACACGUACUACAAUGCUACGGACAGAGGGCAGCAAGCUAGCGAUAGCAAGCAAAUCCCAGAAACCGUAGCUCAGUUCAGAUCGAAGGCUGCAACUCGCCUUCGUGAAGGAGGAAUCGCUAGUAAUUGCAGGUCAGCAUACUGCAGUGAAUUCGUUCCCGGGCCUUGUACACACCGCCCGUCACACCAUGGAAGCUGGCAACGCCCGAAGUCAUUACUCCAACCAUUCGUGGGGGAGGAUGCCCUAACGGGCCCGGUGCCUCGA
This 1397-nucleotide ribosomal RNA is filed under the name Nostoc linckia MBG-AL317. RNAcentral describes it as "bacterial SSU rRNA". It matches the Rfam family "Bacterial small subunit ribosomal RNA". The record is from RNAcentral. Lineage: Bacteria; Bacillati; Cyanobacteriota; Cyanophyceae; Nostocales; Nostocaceae.